CCUCCCGUAACUCAGGGGCAGAGUCGCACUCUUAUAAAGUGCAAGGCGUUGGUUCGAGUCCAACCGGGAGGA
RNAcentral lists this transfer RNA (72 nucleotides) under Gemmataceae bacterium. Its description in RNAcentral is "tRNA-Ile". It matches the Rfam family "tRNA". Rfam says of the family: Transfer RNA (tRNA) molecules are approximately 80 nucleotides in length. Their secondary structure includes four short double-helical elements and three loops (D, anti-codon, and T loops). Further hydrogen bonds mediate the characteristic L-shaped molecular structure. tRNAs have two regions of fundamental functional importance: the anti-codon, which is responsible for specific mRNA codon recognition, and the 3' end, to which the tRNAs corresponding amino acid is attached (by aminoacyl-tRNA synthetases). tRNAs cope with the degeneracy of the genetic code in two manners: having more than one tRNA (with a specific anti-codon) for a particular amino acid; and 'wobble' base-pairing, i.e. permitting non-standard base-pairing at the 3rd anti-codon position. The record is from RNAcentral. Lineage: Bacteria; Pseudomonadati; Planctomycetota; Planctomycetia; Gemmatales; Gemmataceae.